UGCGUAGGCGGAAUGAUAAGUUAGUGGUGAAAGCCCCCGGCUCAACCGGGGAACUGCCAUUAAUACUGUCAUUCUUGAGUAUAGUUGAAGUGGGUGGAAUGUAUCAUGUAGCGGUGAAAUGCUUAGAUAUGAUACAGAACACCGAUAGCGUAGGCAGCUUGCUAAACUAUAACUGACGCUCAGGCACGAAAGCGUGGGGAGCAAACAGGAUUAGAUACCCUGGUAGUCC
RNAcentral lists this ribosomal RNA (229 nucleotides) under uncultured bacterium. RNAcentral's name for it is "partial 16S ribosomal RNA". It matches the Rfam family "Bacterial small subunit ribosomal RNA", at positions 568 to 796 of the family's 1533-position model. The record is from RNAcentral.